RNAcentral lists this long non-coding RNA (1709 nucleotides) under Callithrix jacchus (white-tufted-ear marmoset). RNAcentral describes it as "lncRNA (ENSCJAG00000071448.1)". The record is from RNAcentral. Lineage: Eukaryota; Metazoa; Chordata; Mammalia; Primates; Cebidae.
AAAACAAUGCCUUCCAGAAAGCUUCCUCCACACCAUGCCUGCAAUCUAUGGGAGUGUGAUCAAGGGUGGCGUGCGGCUCUGCCAACCUUUACUUCUCCUAUUGAAAUGCAAUGUAGAAGUCUAGGGGGGAGGGCUCUUAGAAGCUUAAGAGGAUUAAGGGUCUCCUUCCUCACUUUUCCGGUGUUAUUUGCCACCCUUCUGUAGAUGCAGUGUGUUUCAGAAGGCAUUUACCUGCCCACUGAUCUCCAAAAGGACAUGCUUUCUGAAGUCUCUGAGUCUGCUCACAGUAACCCAUUGCCCAGAAUGACCCUCUCUGCUUCUUCACCCAGGGCAUCUGACUCAUUCUACAUGAUGUGGCUCACCUACCUGCGAUACAUCCCACAAGUUGCCAGUAACAAUGAACUGCCUACGCUCUGUGCCCCCAGUUUGCAUCAUAGGCUGGGAGCUGGUGUUAGCCAGUUUAUUCUGGAAGCUAUUCCUGCUGCAAAGAAUAGAAGACCUCAAGGAAUGGACAACAGACUGCACGGAUCUACAUCACCACGUGAAAACACGGCCGGACUCUCAACAACUGUGAGAUUUUAGACAGAAGAUCAAAGCAGCAAAGCAUCUUCUCAGGAGCUCGUGGUACACAACAUGCCUGUGUUUGAGGUGAGCAGGCUGAGACAGUCAGGGGGCCUGAAGAAGGGAAUUGGAUUCCUGGAGAAAAGCCCCUUCCUAUUUUUGCUGCUAAGGCCAAAUGUCAUGUAAAGAAACAGGAUGAGCUACUAGAAAAUCAAAACUGUAUGAAAAAUGUACGUGUUUUAAUAUAGCAUUUUGUAAAAUUUUCAGAGAGAAAAAUAUGUCACAAUAAAGGCUGAGUAAAAAAAAGUCUAAGUUCCAACCAGCAUAAGAAAAAAAUAACCAAAUUUCAAAUUUCAGAGGUGCAUGGAACAAUUACUGAGGAAAGAUGAUUGGAAUAAGAAAUACACUGAACUCAGGGAACUAACAAAAUCAUAGGUGAAAUCUUUGAAGGAUAUAUAAGAAACUCCUGCUUGCAGAGAGAAGGAAAUUAAAGUUUUAAAACAUUGCAUUUUAUAGUUGAAGCUGAUCACUGAAGUGAGAAGUGUUUUUUUUUUUUUUUUUUGAGAUGGAGUUUCACUCUCAUUGCCCAGGCUGGAGUGUGAUGGAGCAAUCUCCAUUCACUGCAACCUCUACCGCCAGGGUUCAAGCAAUUCUCCUGCCUCAGCCUCUCGAAUAGGGAACACAGGCACGUGCCACCACGCCUGGCUAAUAUUUUGAGUUUUUAGUAGAGAUGGGGUUUCUACACGUUGGUUAGGCUGGUCUCGAACUCCUGACCUCUGGUGAUCCACUGGCUUUGGCCUCCCAAAGUUCUGAUGGGCAAAUGUUUGCCAAAUUCUUUGUUUGCAACAUAUGGUGACUGAUGAGGGGUGAUGUAGGCAUGACAUUCAACCAAAAUUCCACCAGAAUGCAAAAGAAAAAACCUUACAGCAGAAAGCAGAGAGAUUCUUAAUGACCUCUAUGGAGAGAUAUGCAUGGUUAAAAGAAGCUGAUUCAGGACUGGUAUAAAUAGGAAAAGAAAUGACAGAAGCUACCAGCUGCAGAGGAAAUGAAAAUUUACAAGUAGAGAGUGAAGAAAUGUUGAAGGAAUUAUGGCCAACAGCGAGAUCUCACACCACCCCAGACCAUUCUUCGUGGUGAGAAGACUCAUG